RNAcentral lists this ribosomal RNA (253 nucleotides) under uncultured bacterium. Its description in RNAcentral is "partial 16S ribosomal RNA". It matches the Rfam family "Bacterial small subunit ribosomal RNA", at positions 524 to 776 of the family's 1533-position model. The record is from RNAcentral.
UACGAAGGGUGCAAGCGUUACUCGGAACUACUGGGCGUAAAGCGUGCGUAGGUGGUUCGUUAAGUCUGAUGUGAAAGCCCUGGGCUCAACCUGGGAAUGGCAUUGGAAACUGGCGACCUAGAGUGCGGUAGAGGGUAGUGGAAUUCCCGGUGUAGCAGUGAAAUGCGUAGAGAUCGGGAGGAACAUCUGUGGCGAAGGCGACUGCCUGGACCAGCACUGACACUGAGGCACGAAAGCGUGGGGAGCAAACAGG